GACAGGAUGGCCGAGUGGUUAAGGCGACAGUUUUGAAUUGAUCCAUACGGGAAACUUCAUACCCUGAUCACAUUCCAGCUGUUUCACUUUGUGAGCGUGAGUUCAAACCUCACUCCUGUCG
Molecule: transfer RNA, 121 nt
Organism: Puccinia sorghi
Lineage: Eukaryota; Fungi; Basidiomycota; Pucciniomycetes; Pucciniales; Pucciniaceae
Rfam family: tRNA
About the family: Transfer RNA (tRNA) molecules are approximately 80 nucleotides in length. Their secondary structure includes four short double-helical elements and three loops (D, anti-codon, and T loops). Further hydrogen bonds mediate the characteristic L-shaped molecular structure. tRNAs have two regions of fundamental functional importance: the anti-codon, which is responsible for specific mRNA codon recognition, and the 3' end, to which the tRNAs corresponding amino acid is attached (by aminoacyl-tRNA synthetases). tRNAs cope with the degeneracy of the genetic code in two manners: having more than one tRNA (with a specific anti-codon) for a particular amino acid; and 'wobble' base-pairing, i.e. permitting non-standard base-pairing at the 3rd anti-codon position.
Source: Rfam